Molecule: ribosomal RNA, 555 nt
Filed under: uncultured bacterium
Lineage: Bacteria
Description: bacterial SSU rRNA
Rfam family: Bacterial small subunit ribosomal RNA
Source: RNAcentral
GGANUGCGAAUGGCCUACGGCUGACGCAGCGACGCCGCGUGUGGGAUGAAGCUCCUCGGAGUGUAAACCACUGUUGCCCGGGACGAAUAGCUCGAUUCAUCGAGCCUGACGGUACCGGGUGAGGAAGCACCGGCUAACUCCGUGCCAGCAGCCGCGGUAAUACGGGGGGUGCGAGCGUUGUCCGGAAUCACUGGGCGUAAAGGGCGCGUAGGUGGUUUGAUAAGGGUGUGGUGAAAGCCCGGGGCUCAACCCCGGGUCUGCCGUGCCGACUGUUGAACUCGAGGGCUGUAGAGGCAGACGGAAUUCCGGGUGUAGCGGUGGAAUGCGUAGAGAUCCGGAGGAAGACCGGUGGCGAAGGCGGUCUGCUGGGCAGUUUCUGACACUGAUGCGCGACAGCGUGGGGAGCAAACAGGAUUAGAUACCCUGGUAGUCCACGCCGUAAACGAUGGGUACUAGGUGCCUGGGGGAGCGACCCUCUGGGUGCCGGCGCUAACGCAGGAAGUACCCCGCCUGGGGAGUACGACCGCAAGGUUGAAACUCAAAAGAAUUGACGGA